UCAAUUUAGUUAAACUGGUUUUGAAUUGGGCUUGAUUCAUAUUUAAUUUGGGUCUGCUGAGACUAACUCAGCUUAAUUAGGUUCAGACCCAACUCAAUUGGACUUAAUUUGGUUCGGAUUUAUCCCAAUUUAUAGUUUGGGUUCGUCCGGACUUAGCCCAAUCUGACUGGGCUCGGUUUUAGUCAAAUUUGGCUAAACCUAUUUUUCUUUUCUUUUAUUUGGGCCUAACAGGUUCGGACCCGUACUCGGAUCAGGCCCGUUAGGUCGAACCCGUUAAGGGUCUCUCUCUUUUUUUUUUCCUUUCCUUUUCUUUUCUUUUUCUUUUCUUUUUCUUCUUUUCUUCUUUUUCUUUUCUUUCUUCUUCCUUCCCGAACCUUCUUCUCCAUUCUUUCUUCUUUCUUUUUCUUCUCCUCCUCCUCCACUGUUUGUCUCCCUCUCUACAAUCCUCUCCGAUUGGUAGGACCCGGUGUUAGUCCUACGUCGCCGGAGCAGAGGGCUGCAUCACCGGAGUAAGAGACGAACGAUCCCCUUCAAGGCAGGUAAAGCCCUUCUUCAGAAUUUAUU
Molecule: long non-coding RNA, 564 nt
Filed under: Phoenix dactylifera (date palm)
Lineage: Eukaryota; Viridiplantae; Streptophyta; Magnoliopsida; Arecales; Arecaceae
Description: long non-coding RNA (PDAC_LNC014034)
Source: RNAcentral